Molecule: long non-coding RNA, 358 nt
Filed under: Mytilus galloprovincialis (Mediterranean mussel)
Lineage: Eukaryota; Metazoa; Mollusca; Bivalvia; Mytilida; Mytilidae
Source: RNAcentral
GUUUUAAUAUCAAUUUUGAAUAAGUACCUGUUUGUCGUAAGUAUAACGGUGUCGUUCAAUUUUUAUUCAGUAGGGGUUACGGGGUUAGGACCAACUUUUUUUUUACGAUCAAUGCCUUUGAAUGUGGUAAUAUGAUUGGAACUUCAAUUUAUCCUGAGUUGGAACCCACUUUUUAAAAAAUUGCUGGAUCCGCCCAUGAAUAUUUCCUAAUUUCAUCAUAGAUACUUGUAUUUAAUAAGACUAUCCUUGAAUUAUCCUGGAUUUCCAACUUAACAUGACGUAAAAUUGAGAAUGGAAAUGAGGAAUGUGUCAAAGAGACAACAACCCGACUAAAGAGUCGAAAACAGCCGAAAGCCAC